CCAGCUGCUGGAAAAGAAGGUUUUUAACACAGCUGCUAGGAAUUGUAUUCUGCUAACAAUCAUAUAAAUUGAGAAGAAAAUCCUGAAUGUUAGAUAAUUGAGCCAAUACUUUGAUUUCGGCCUGGUGAAAACCUGAGCAGAAGACUCAACUAACCUGUACCUAGACCCUUGACCCAUAGAAGCCAUGAGAUUAAUAAAUGUGUGUUGUCUUAAUCUAUUAAAUUAGUUAUGCAGUUUUCAGUAGAAAACGAAUAGUCUCAUAUUCUAAUUCAGUGGAACUAUUUUUGUGUCUCCUGGUGGAAGCAUUCCCCUCUUGGAUACCAAGAUCUCCAAACCAGCAGUUCAAAGUUGCCAGGAUAAGAAGCAAAAAGUCUAUAAAUGAGUUAUUAGGAAUAAUAGUAAGAGAAGCGACUCACUUCCACUGCUUGUAUUCUGGCUACAAGAGAGGUAACAGCAUAUCAUGCUUUCUGAUCCAAGCACAUACUACUCCCCAUAGGACCAAACCCUGUAAUAGGAUGUUGUCUACCAACUGGUGUAAGACCACAUAUGCGUCCCGAGUAAGCCAUUUCACCUUUCACUUAGACCAGCCAGUCUCAGGUGAUAGGGUAUAUUGCAAGACCAAUUAAGUCCAUAGGGUGAGCCCCAUUGCUGCAUUUCUCCGUUGUAAAAUGAGGUUUCUGGAUCUGAAGCACUGGUGAGUAGAAUGCCAGGACACUGGAUAAGGCAUUGUGUGAGUCCGUGGAUGGUAGUGCUGGCAGAAGUAUUAUGGGCAUGGAGGGCAAAUCUAUAUCCAGAAUAUAUGUCUGUUUCCGUGAGAAUGAAUCUCUACCCCUCCAUGGUAGAAGAGGUCCACUGCGUGUCUGGCUAGUCCUCUCAGGGAAUGGUACCAAUGUUACAUACUCAAAGCUGGUCUCUAUACUCAGCAGUAACUCUAGCCAGGCCAGCCUUUUAAGGGAAAUCCCAUGUUGUUGAACAGCCUCCUGUGCAUUGUCACCAUGGCCUCUUUGCUCAUGGGUCCAUUGAACUAUCACUGGCGUGGCUGAGGAAAGAAGCUGACAGCAACAGUGUGUUAUUUUGUUCAUCUCAAUUUUAAGAGCUGCCUUUGCAAUGGAUGUUCUUCGGUAGGCAUUAAUAUGGAACACAAAUAUCUUCACAUUCUGUGCCCAUUCAAAGAGGUCUGAACUAAUGUUCUCAUCCCCACCCAAAAUCUCAAUUUUUACCCAUCUUGGUUAACUUCUCAACAUUAUUUCAUCUAGAUUCCUUCUCACCCACUUUUCUUUUCCACAUUAUUCUGAAGCAAAUUCCAGACAUCAUAUCACUUUACUUUAAAUAUUGCAGUACCUCUAAAAGAUAAGCAUUAUUUAAAAAUAACCACACUAUGGGGUGCCUGGCUGGCUCAGUCAGUGGACCAUGUGACUCUUCAUCUCAGGUUUGUGAAUUUGAGCCCAAUGUUGAGUGUAGAGAUUACUUAAAAAUAAAAUCUUUAUUUUUUUAAAAAGAUUUUAUUUAUUUGAAAUAGUGAGUGAGUGAGAGAGCAUGAGCAGGGCAUGAGGGGCAGAGGGAGAGGGAGAAUCAAGCACCAUGCUGAGCAGAGAGCCCUACAUGGGGCUUGAUCCUAGAAUCCCAGGAUUAUGACCUGAGCUGAAAGCAGACACUUAACUGACUGAGCCACCCGGGUGUCCCUUGAAAAUAAAAUCUUCCCAAAAAAA
Molecule: long non-coding RNA, 1709 nt
Filed under: Canis lupus familiaris (dog)
Lineage: Eukaryota; Metazoa; Chordata; Mammalia; Carnivora; Canidae
Description: lncRNA (ENSCAFG00000058055.1)
Source: RNAcentral